Molecule: long non-coding RNA, 600 nt
Organism: Oncorhynchus tshawytscha (Chinook salmon)
Lineage: Eukaryota; Metazoa; Chordata; Actinopteri; Salmoniformes; Salmonidae
Source: Ensembl
GUGGUUAGAGUGGAGGGGCGGCAGGGUAGCCUAGUGGUUAGAGUGGAGGGGUGCAGGGUAGACUAGUGGUUAGAGUGGAGGGGCGGCAGGGUAGACUAGUGGUUAGAGUGGAGGGGCGGCAGGGUAGACUAGUGGUUAGAGUGGAGGGGCGGCAGGGUAGCCUAGUGGUUAGAGUGGAGGGGCGGCAGGGUAGCCUAGUGGUUAGAGUGGAGGGGCGGCAGGGUAGCCUAGUGGUUAGAGUGGAGGGGCGGCAGGGUAGAAUAGUGGUUAGAGGGGAGUGGAGGCAGGGUAGCCUAGUGGGUAGAGUGGAGGGGCGGCAGGGUAGCCUAGUGGUUAGAGGGGAGGGGCGGCAGGGUAGCCUAGUGGUUAGAGGGGAGGGGCGGCAGGGUAGCCUAGUGGGUAGAGUGGAGGGGCGGCAAGUAGCCUAGUGGUUAGAGUGGAGGGGCGGCAGGGUAGCCUAGUGGUUAGAGUGGAGGGGUGGCAGGGUAGCCUAGUGGUUAGAGUGAAGGGGCGGCAGGGUAGCCUAGUGGUUAGAGUGGAGGGGCGGCAGGGUAGUCUAGUGGUUAGAGUGGAGGGGCGGCAGGGUAGCCUAGUGGUUAG